CAAAGCCCAACCUAGCCUAGAACCUAACCCGACCCAAUUCAUCUCCUGGAGAAACUAAACAACGCCGCUUUGCCAGCCCAUUAUCUGAACUGUUGAUCUCGUUCAUCCAACGGCCAAGGAACACUCCCCCCUUUUUAAUAUAACUGUCCUAAAUCCAUAAAAACCUCGUAUCUCUAUACUUCGUCUCCCUCUUCAAGAACCCUAACCCGCCGCCCUCUUUCCUCACUAUUUUGACCCCAGCGGCGACGCCAUAGACCACUCCAAACACUACCAAAUUAACAUCCUAAAAUCCUCACACUUCCCUCAUAUUGAAUCCACAAAUAUUUUCCCUCGAAUCCCCCCCAGAACCCUUCGAAUCUCAAUUUGAAGUUUGAACCCUAAAAAUCCCAACUCUCCAAUUCGGGUUCUUAUUGAAGAUUUUAGGUCCACCCCGAGUUUAUUCAUGUGUUUUGGUAAACAAAAUACACAAUUAAUAUCGGAUUGAGCUGAAAUUGAAAGAGUUCGAAGCGUCAGCCUUAUCUCUCAUUUGUCUGAGGUUUUAGGUAUUUUCCCGUUUCUUUUGUUGUCUUUUCCCGUUUUCCUCUCAUUUUUCCGUAUUCUGCAUCUAUCACUUCUCCUGGUUUCUUUUUCCCUUUUUUCAGUUUUCCAAAUUUUUUUGUUCAUGCAUGAUUAGUCCUACAUCUUUUUUAAUAAGUGCCAUUAACUCGAUAAUUAACUUAGUUUACUAAUUUAGUUAAUUCUAGUUAAUAAAUUAUUUAGUUUAGAUUUUAGUUGCUGAAAUGUUUGCAUUCUUGUGAUAUUUCAGACUUUAAUUGGGUUAAUUGUUUGUUUGGAUUUUGGGAUUUCUUACCCAUUUAGAAAAUAAGGGCAUCCUGUUCACCUUGUUAACCCAUUGGAGGCCCUUUAGGGGUAAUAACAGGGUCAUAGGGGGUAAUUCUCAUAGUUCUGAAGGGUAGUCUAGGUAAUUGAAAAAAGGAAAUCUUUUAUAACUAUCUAGGGAAGCUUCUAGAAAGCAGGGAUUGGGAAUUAAAUGGAACAUCUGAUUUUAACUUAAGGACUCCUAAGCAAAAAAGAAAAUUCAAAAAGAGUUCAAAUGCAAAUUUGAACUCUUUGAGGCUGCCUAGUGACUUGCCUAUAAAGGCACAUUACGUUGGCUUUCAAGUCAGACAAAAAAAAAGAGAGAAAAUCCAGAAAUACUGAUACGGCUGCAUAUUUAGGAGAAAACACUGAUUUCUUUGCAUUUUCUUGGUAAAAAUCACUAAAGAUACUGUGUAGUGCUGAGUUCCUGAUCUUUUUCACUAGUUUAAAUCUCUGAAAGUUUGAAUUCUGCACUCGAUUGAAUAUGAAUUUAUUUUGGGGUUUGAAAGCUGGGUUUUGAGCUGCUAAAAGUUUUUCUACUGUUUCAUUGGUUUGUUGGGUUCUAUUUGUUGUUGUUGUUUAUUGAAUCCCCAUUGUUUGUGCUUUCCUCUUACAUCAGGUACACGAUCCUGUAACUAUUUGCUUAUGAAGUCUUGAUACAAAGAAUGAGUUAAGAAGCAGAAGUUUGAUGCACCUCACUAGUUAUUUUGCUGAUUAAUUCAUGUGUUUUUUUUUGAAUUUCCUAUUUUACUUGAUGGGUUAUGAUGUUUAAUGGAAUUUUAGCUUGAAUAAGUGGGUUUCGUUGUAUUUAAUUUAGGACUGCCAUGAAACCGGGGUAACAAAUCGUUUGAUUGAAUCAUAUGGUUCGUAUUUUAUGGAAUUAAAUUUGUAACGUGGUUUGCAUGAAACACUCUUUCUGUUAUACAAUUUCAUUCACAUUUGCUGUCAAUUGGUGGUUUUGGAUACUACAGUACUAUGAGAUAGGAUUUAAGUUAUUUCAAAGGAUAAAGUAUGGGUUGGUUGGUUUUGGGAUGGCAUGUGAAUAUAACUAAACCUGGAGUUGAAUUUCAGAAUGUUUUGUUUUUACCUAGGACUUAUUUAAUUUUAAGAUGCCAAAUUGAAAAGUCAAGUACAAUAACGUAUUUCAUAUUUUCUGAUUGGGUUUGUUUUCUAAAUGGUCAAAUAUCAUGAUGUGGUUUUGGACGUUGGGCUUAGUGCUGGCCCAAAUGUUAAAAACUCACUUCAAGUGCCCAUGCCACGCCAUGGAUGUUGUGGUCUCUAGCCAAAUUUGGGCUCGUUUGAGUUUGAGCCUGAAGGUGUUUCUGUUCUACCAUUUGUUGUCGUUUCACUUCAUCAAAUGCAAUUCUCACU
Molecule: long non-coding RNA, 2229 nt
Filed under: Nicotiana benthamiana
Lineage: Eukaryota; Viridiplantae; Streptophyta; Magnoliopsida; Solanales; Solanaceae
Description: long non-coding RNA (NBEN_LNC026779)
Source: RNAcentral